CUUUUCUUUCUUUCUUUUUUCUUUUUUUUAAUCUCCAGUAGCGAUCUGCGAGGCUGAGGUUUCCGCAGAAAGUUUGGGGGCUGUUACGGUGUGUAUUUCUGCGGAGGGGGAGGGGAGCGGGCUCCUUCUGUGUGUGCUGCUCCUCUGGGUGCCUAUUGGAGAAUAAUAGUGUAAGUGACAACCUAGAAGUAGACUUUCUGCUCUUCACACUGGAUAGAAAAGCUGCCUUUUUUUUUUUUUUUGCUUUGAUUUUUUUUUUUCCCCUAAUACCCCCCUCUCUCACUUGCAUUGGUUUUAUUUUUGAAAGGACAGCCAGACUUAAGUCACCUCCCACCUCCAUUUAAACCUGCUACUUUAUUUUUAUUUUUAUUAUUAUUCUGAAUUUUGAGCACUUGUCUGAUCAAUUGCUCUUCACCUCCUUCCUCCGCCGCUCUCUCAAAAGAUAUUUAAUAUAGAUUUUUAUUUUUUUUUUGUCCAUUGCCAUUUUUUUCUCAUGGCUACUCUGUUUCUCGCUACCUAUUUUUGCCCCUCCCCGCCUAAAGGAAAAUAGCAACAAGAAAACAAGAGAAAAAAACAACAACAAAAAAGAAUAUUAGGGGAAGUAGCCCUCAGGUCUGCUGCCCCCCGCGCCCCCCAGAAAGGGGGGACCUAGGAAAACAUCACUCUCGAACUUCUUCCUCCUCAAGAGCUCGGGCUGCAAAGGAAACCUCCUUUGUUUUUGUUAUUUAUAUGCUGUCAAGUUUUGAAGUGGUCACAGCGAAAGCUUGGCCUGGAUCGCGAGAGCCAUAUGGAACGGAUAAGUGCGGAGCCUCUCUCAAAUGUUGCUUGUAAACGUUCGGAUUAAUAUAUUACCUCCUUCUCCGCUCUAUCGGGAAAAGCAGUGCAGUGUUCACAUGAGAAAAAACAACUUAUGGAAUUGUCAUUGCCAUAUAUACCAAUGACAUAGAAUAGUGAUCUUUAGAGGCGGGACUGAGUAUGGAUCAUUUGAACGAGGCAACUCAGGGGAAAGAACAUUCAGAAAUGUCUAACAAUGUAAGCGAUCCGAAGGGUCCACCAGCCAAAAUUGCGCGCUUGGAGCAGAAUGGGAGCCCAUUAGGAAGAGGAAGACUUGGAAGUACAGGAACUAAAAUGCAAGGAGUGCCUUUAAAACACUCUGGACACCUGAUGAAAACUAAUAUUAGAAAAGGUAACACUUUUUUAAUUCUGCAUUUGAGAAAUAUGAAUUAUAAUAUUUGUGGGGGGAAGCAUACUUUUGUAGAUUCCACUUCAUUUAUAUUUCAGGAUUAAAUCUCCAUUCUAAAAUACUAUAUAUUCCCAACUCUGAUAUAAAUCACAUUUGGGAAAUGUAAGCUUCAUGCUUGGGUGGAGCAUCUUGCUUUACAGGGUGGAGUCUGAUUUUUGCUAAGGUAAAGGCUAGCUGUCCUGAUUAAAGCAAAUUCCUACAUUGAAAUAGAAAUAAUAUAAUGCGUUAAUUCUUAGAGUACGUGUUGGGCUCAGAAAUGCAGAAAUCUGUAAGAAUAAAGACUGAACCCCCAAAACAAAUUCUCGCCUUUCCUCUGAAUGAUGGUACAAUCUUGGGAGGACAGCAGUAUUUCCAUAACAGUUGGAAGUUGUUUUGUUUUGUUUUGUUUUGUUUUUUAAAGCGAGUGUGGAAAUCUUGAGAUAUCACAUUGGAAAAGUCAUUUAUGAUGUCAAUCUUCACAGUUUAUUUUCUUAAGUACAAUUCAUUAUUGAACAAUGAACAACUUGGGUGUCAUAUUUUUCAGUGGCUGGUUUGCUGUAAUUAGACAUUUAUACAAGGAAAGACAUGUUUAGAAAUACUGGUGUUUGUAUAUGGAUGGCUUUUGUUUGCCUUACAAAUACUUUCAAUGGACAAAAAUCUAUAAAUUUUGCAUACUGAAAUAUAUAACCCCUUUUUUUGACCACUUUCUGCAGGCUUGCUAAUUUAAAUAAAAACAUGCUGUAUGUAAUUUUGCAUUUGUAUUAAAGCAGCCUUUACUUUUGUAUAAUUGGUAUAUGUUUAUAAUCCAGAUUUUUCUUGCAUUUGCUAAGCUAAGUGCAAAAUGCAACCAAGACUAUUAAACGCACAAAGUUAGAAGGCAGAGGAAUUUCAUUGUGUCUGAUGCAUAACAUUUAUCGUACAAUCAUUUAUUUUUUCCUCGGUUUGGCGAAAACAAAGAAUAUAUUGAUCCUGAGAUGAACAGACACAGCAGUCCGUAUUGUUAGAUCUUUAUCUAUUAAAAAUGGCAAAACAGCACUUCAGCAAAUUCUUUGGCCUCUGCUCAUGAUUACCCUAUUUAUUGAUUGUUGCCAAGAAUGUACGCAUCUUAAGAAAGCCAGGGUAAGAGCAUUAAAAAUAUAAUUUAUUACGGCUUUUCAAGCAGAGUGCAUUAAUAUUGUACAGUGAAGCAGUGGGGCUAUAUAAAAAGGACUUUCUGACGCCUGCAAACAUAUAAGUUCCAUAAAUUCCUAAAUAGGAGAUUUCAGCUGUCUCUGGUAUUAUGUGAUAUUUGCACAGCAAACUUUAAUGCCAGGACAGUUUUAGACAAGGAUUCUACAGACUUCACUGCUCCUUAUGGUAGACGUGCUGUUUACACAGACUCAUAAACCUUCAGCAAAAGCUCUAACACUGCUUUCAGGUUUAAAUCAUGCUGUAUUUUUAGCAGCGAGCACUGACCAGUGCUCUCCCCUUUAAUACUAGAAGGUUAUGAAGUUGCUGCAAUUGGAGGUCUUGCCAAGUACUAGCAGGAGAGAUCAGCCAGCUAAGGUUGUGCUCUCCUGUACAACAUUUUUCACAUUAACAGAAGGACACGAGUGACAGUCUGCUAAAAGAUUUAGUAGCUUGAUUUGUAGUCAGAUGAGACCUGUGUCGCGCUACCAGGAUCCACCUCUGAUAAGCUACGCUGGACAUAGGAAUUUGGCCAGAGCUUCUCCUGUGCUGUUAAAGUACAUUUUUUCAGAAAUGCUCUAAGUCCUGGGAGUGCAUACAUGUCAAAAAGUGUGCUGCACACAAUGCAGUACCUGUGCAUUGCUAGCUUUAUCUAGUCAUAACCUGAUUUGUAGCAACUGAUAAGGAAAAGGACAAAUCUGUCUCGGCUGUUUUUGAGUGUGUAUGCCCUGUUUGUUAAAAUGAAGGUUUGUUUACUUUUUAUCUUCAGGUAUUAGCGGUGAAACUACUUAAGAAUUUUGAGUCCUUUCUUUCCGUCAGAUGUUAGUAGGUGAAACAUCAAUUGUGAGAGUGUGAAGGGGGGAGGGAGGGGAAAGAACCAAAACCUUUUUGCAGAUGAAGUACGCGUGUAUGUUUUGGAAAGCUCUCUACAGCUUAAUUAAAAGCAAUGAAGAAAUCACCAGUUUGCAUGUACUGCUUUUGCUUUGGUCUUUUUCUCCUU
This is a non-coding RNA of Meleagris gallopavo (turkey), 3389 nucleotides long. The record is from RefSeq and is a predicted model, not a curated record. Lineage: Eukaryota; Metazoa; Chordata; Aves; Galliformes; Phasianidae.